GGGAAAUCUGAGCAGAGAAUCUGAUCAUGUAGGAAGCUGGAGAAUGUGUUCCGGGUGGAAAGCACAGCCCAAGAAUAAUGCAAGAUGAGAAUGAACUUGACAAGUUUGCUGUAUAAUAAGAUUGUGGACUUCCAAUAUGAUUUUGAAAAGGAGUGGCUCCAAGUUCCUGAUCUUGGGAGAAAGCAUCCAGCCUAUCACCAUUAAGCAUGUUGUCACUUAAAUUGUGGCGAAUCCAAAUUCUCCACAGUGAAGCAGAAGAGGACAACUCUGACGCAGUCCUUCCGAGUGAGAACAAGCACCUUCCUCAUCUGAGGAAGACUAUAGAUAUUUCAUGUUACUCAUAGCUGAAUCUAACCCCUUAAUAAGUUUUCAACUAUGUUUGAUUAUGUGUUAAUAAAACCAUGUGGAAGAUUACUAAUGAUUGAUUCAAUUUCUUUAAUAUACAAAGUGUAUAUUAUCUAUCUCUCCUUGUGUGAAUUUUGAUAGUUUAUGUCUUUCAAGAAAUUGGUCCAUUUCACCUGAGUUGUCAAAUUUGUGGACCUAGAGUAUAGUAUAUGUCAUUUUAAUGUCCAUUAGUGAUGACGUCUCUUUUAUUUCUAAUAAUGAUAAUUCACGUCUUCUCUCUUUUUGACUUGGUUAGCCAGACCAGAGUUUGCUCUGGGGAGUUUUUAAAUUAUGAAUUCAAUUUUCUUAUCAACUACAGAGCUAUUCAGGCUAUCUAUUUCUUUUUGUGUGC
This 736-nucleotide long non-coding RNA is filed under the name Equus caballus (horse). RNAcentral describes it as "lncRNA (ENSECAG00000059502.1)". The record is from RNAcentral. Lineage: Eukaryota; Metazoa; Chordata; Mammalia; Perissodactyla; Equidae.